This 234-nucleotide ribosomal RNA is filed under the name uncultured Actinomycetales bacterium. Its description in RNAcentral is "partial 16S ribosomal RNA". It matches the Rfam family "Bacterial small subunit ribosomal RNA", at positions 101 to 334 of the family's 1533-position model. The record is from RNAcentral. Lineage: Bacteria; Bacillati; Actinomycetota; Actinomycetes; Actinomycetales.
GGCAACGGGUGAGUAACACGUGGGUAAUCUGCCCUGCACUCUGGGAUAAGCUUGGGAAACUGGGUCUAAUACUGGAUAUGACCUUUCUCCUUAUGGGGUUUGGUGGAAAGUUUUUCGGUGUGGGAUGAGCCCGCGGCCUAUCAGCUUGUUGGUGGGGUGAUGGCCUACCAAGGCGACGACGGGUAGCCGGCCUGAGAGGGUGAUCGGCCACAUUGGGACUGAGAUACGGCCCAG